RNAcentral lists this ribosomal RNA (442 nucleotides) under uncultured bacterium. Its description in RNAcentral is "partial 16S ribosomal RNA". It matches the Rfam family "Bacterial small subunit ribosomal RNA", at positions 338 to 795 of the family's 1533-position model. The record is from RNAcentral.
CCUACGGGAGGCAGCAGUAGGGAAUCUUUCACAAUGGGCGAAAGCCUGAUGGAGCAACGCCGCGUGCAGGAUGAAGGCCUUCGGGUUGUAAACUGCUUUUAUAAGCGAGAAAUAUGAUGGUAACUUAUGAAUACUGAUCGGCUAACUACGUGCCAGCAGCCGCGGUCAUACGUAGGAUCCGAGCAUUAUCCGGAGUGACUGGGUGUAAAGAGUUGCGUAGGUGGCAUAAUAAGUAGCUAGUGAAAUCUGGUGGCUCAACCAUUCAGACUAUUGGCUAAACUGUUAAGCUCGAGACCGUUAGGGGUAACUGGAAUUUCUAGUGUAGGAGUGAAAUCCGUAGAUAUUAGAAGGAACACCAAUAGCGUAGGCAGGUUGCUGGGACGGGUCUGACACUAAGGCACGAAAGCGUAGGGAGCAAACGGGAUUAGAUACCCUUGUAGUC